This 74-nucleotide transfer RNA is filed under the name Phycisphaerales bacterium. RNAcentral's name for it is "tRNA-Arg". It matches the Rfam family "tRNA". From Rfam's summary of the family: Transfer RNA (tRNA) molecules are approximately 80 nucleotides in length. Their secondary structure includes four short double-helical elements and three loops (D, anti-codon, and T loops). Further hydrogen bonds mediate the characteristic L-shaped molecular structure. tRNAs have two regions of fundamental functional importance: the anti-codon, which is responsible for specific mRNA codon recognition, and the 3' end, to which the tRNAs corresponding amino acid is attached (by aminoacyl-tRNA synthetases). tRNAs cope with the degeneracy of the genetic code in two manners: having more than one tRNA (with a specific anti-codon) for a particular amino acid; and 'wobble' base-pairing, i.e. permitting non-standard base-pairing at the 3rd anti-codon position. The record is from RNAcentral. Lineage: Bacteria; Pseudomonadati; Planctomycetota; Phycisphaerae; Phycisphaerales.
GCGCUCGUAGCUCAGUAGGAUAGAGCAUCGGUUUCCUAAACCGAAGGUCGCAGGUUCUAACCCUGCCGGGCGUG